AUUGAACGAUGGCGGCAGGCCUAACACAUGCAAGUCGAGCGAGCGGCGGACGGGUGAGUAAUGUCUGGGACACUGCCUGAUGGAGGGGGAUAACUACUGGAAACGGUAGCUAAUACCGCAUACCAUCAGAUGUGCCCAGAUGGGAAUAGCUAGUAGGUGGGGCAACGGCUCACCUAGGCGACGAUCCCUAGCUGGUCUGAGAGGAUGACCAGCCAAACUGAAACUGAGACACGGGCCAGACUCCUACGGGAGGCAGCAGUGGGGAGUAUGGCACAAUGGGCGCAAGCCUGAUGCAGCCAUGCCGCGUGUGUGAAGAAGGCCUUCGGGUUGUAAAGCACUUUCAGCGGAGAGGCGUUACCCGCAGAAGAAGCACCGGCUAACUCCGUGCCAGCAGCCGCGGUAAUUC
This 406-nucleotide ribosomal RNA is filed under the name uncultured bacterium. RNAcentral's name for it is "partial 16S ribosomal RNA". It matches the Rfam family "Bacterial small subunit ribosomal RNA", at positions 29 to 526 of the family's 1533-position model. The record is from RNAcentral.